Molecule: ribosomal RNA, 253 nt
Filed under: uncultured bacterium
Lineage: Bacteria
Description: partial 16S ribosomal RNA
Rfam family: Bacterial small subunit ribosomal RNA
Source: RNAcentral
UACGUAGGGUGCAAGCGUUGUCCGGAAUUAUUGGGCGUAAAGAGCUCGUAGGCGGUUUGUCGCGUCGAAUGUGAAAACCCGGGGCUCAACCCCGGGCCUGCAUUCGAUACGGGCAGACUAGAGUUCGGUAGGGGAGACUGGAAUUCCUGGUGUAGCGGUGAAAUGCGCAGAUAUCAGGAGGAACACCGGUGGCGAAGGCGGGUCUCUGGGCCGAUACUGACACUGAGGAGCGAAAGCAUGGGUAGCGAACAGG